GAGAUGUUUUUUUUAGUGAAAAUGCUAGAAAUGCACAUAUGACGGAACAAUUUACAAGGGAAAACAGCAAAGGAAAUACAACAGCUAAUAUGUACAUCAAAAGAAAAAACUAAAACAAAACGUGAAAGUCCGUAGUAGCUCCAAUCCAAAAAGGUAUUCCCCUUGUAGCUGUGGUAGUAGAGGAGGAUGUCAUCGCCCAUUUGGUAAGACAAUGGGCUGGAUGGACGGCCUGGCGAGCGCAACAAAAAGUUAUAUGCAUAAUGGGAGUUAGUCCGCCCGGCUAGCUGCAUGGUAGCAUUUAAACAAUCAUAAUAAAUAAAUACUAACAUUAAAAUUAUGAUGCAAGAUCCAUGCAUGUGAUAGCCAUAAGAAUAGCCAAAAUUCAGUUUUCCAAGCGCACGUGCUCUCUUGGGCCUGUUUCGUACUUGGUGCCAUACAAGUAGAGGGAUGAGCUCCCCUCGGUACCCCAUCCCCACAAAUUCUUCCAAAUUUCAUUUUGUAGCCCCCACUAACACUAUAAUAAUGAUCCAACCUUAUCGCAAUGAAUCCAUAAAUUCGAUCCAAAACUGUUCGCUUUGUAGAAAUCAACAAGUGGGAUAUUCCUCUCAGGAAUAAAGUCGAUUGGAUAUGUGUCACCGUUCAUAUUUUCGGUAACAAUCUUCGGUCGGAUAUGUGUAAACUACAUAACCAAUUGAAAUUUAUUUUAAAUUACAACCCAAAAAACACCGUUCAUUUACUUGUCGAUUGAGCUCUUGACGUAAACGGUAGCCGGUAGGUAUUAAAUUUCUAGGCGGGUUAAUGAAACCCGUUACAGUCUCACAGCAACAGCAGUCGGAUCCCAAGCUCCCGACCGAGGCCCAGAAAGCGGAAACACGCAUGGCAUUCCAAACCAGAUUUCACAUUCAAUGAUAUUAUGAUACUGAAGUCCAUAGAAGUCAGGAAUUUUGAAUGUUAACAAGCACAUGUACAAAGAAAACAUAUUUUCCGAAGCACCAAAAAAAAUUUACGUAGGACAAAAACACGAAAAAUAUAUAACCAGUAUGUCGAGUAACAGAGAUGUCCUUAAGCUGUCUAUUGGAACGUAAUGUAGAUAAGAAUGACCAUGAUUAUCUUUCUCCUCUUUGUUCAGGCGUUAAUCCGCGGCCUUGUCCGCAACUUGGACAACUCUUUAACCCAAAUCCCUGGCAAU
Rhododendron vialii is the source of this 1189-nucleotide long non-coding RNA. RefSeq lists it as uncharacterized. The record is from RefSeq and is a predicted model, not a curated record. Lineage: Eukaryota; Viridiplantae; Streptophyta; Magnoliopsida; Ericales; Ericaceae. The transcript has 2 exons.